ACUCCCAAACCCAUGUGAACAUACCUAACGUUGCCUCGGCAGGUCGCACCUACCUUGUAGCACCCUACCCUGUAGGGCCUACCCGGGAGGUGCGGGUAAGCCUGCCGGCGGCCCACCAAACUCUGUUUGAUAUUGAAUUCUGAACCUAUAACUAAAUAAGUUAAAACUUUCAACAACGGAUCUCUUGGUUCUGGCAUCGAUGAAGAACGCAGCGAAAUGCGAUAAGUAAUGUGAAUUGCAGAAUUCAGUGAAUCAUCGAAUCUUUGAACGCAUAUUGCGCCCAUUAGUAUUCUAGUGGGCAGGACCGUUCGAGCGUCAUUUCAACCCUUAAGCCUUCGUUGCUUAGUGUUGGGAGCCUACGGCAACGUAGCUCCUCAAAGUUAGUGGCGGAGUUGGUUCACACUCUAGACGUAGUAAUUUUUUAUCUCGCCUAUUAGUUGGACUAAUCCCCUGCCGUAAAACCCCCAAUUUAUCAAGGUUGACCUCGAAUCGGUUCAGACAAACUCGCUAAAUUGAAGCAUCUUAGUCAGCGAAGGAAAAGAAACCAACAGGGAUUGCCCUAGUAACGGCGAGUGAAGCGGCAACAGCUCAAAUUUGAAAUCUGGCCCUCGGGUCCGAGUUGUAAUUUGUAGAGGAUGCUUUUGGCGCGGUGCCUUCCGAGUUCCCUGGAACGGGACGCCUUAGAGGGUGAGAGCCCCGUACGGUUGGACACCAAGCCUCUGUAAAGCUCCUUCGACGAGUCGAGUAGCUUGGGAAUGCUGCUCUAAAUGGGAGGUAAAUUUCUUCUAAAGCUAAAUAUUGGCCAGAGACCGAUAGCGCACAAGUAGAGUGAUCGAAAGAUGAAAAGCACUUUGAAAAGA
RNAcentral lists this ribosomal RNA (860 nucleotides) under fungal endophyte. Its description in RNAcentral is "eukaryotic LSU rRNA". The stretch from base 480 to 860 matches the Rfam family "Eukaryotic large subunit ribosomal RNA", at positions 1 to 384 of the family's 3401-position model. Lineage: Eukaryota; Fungi. The record is from RNAcentral.